GCGGAUGGCCGGAUGGCCGCGUGGGUGGCGACACCUGCGAGGAAAGUCCGGACUCCACAAGGCAACGGUGCCGGGUAACGCCCGGCCGGGGUAACCCGAGGGAAAGCGCCACAGAGAACAGUCCGCCUUCGUGCGCCGCUCGCGCGGCACGCAGAGGUCAGGGUGAAACGGUGGGGUAAGAGCCCACCGCGGGCCUGGCAACAGGACCGGCACGGCAAGCCCCACCGGGAGCAAUGCCGAAUAGGGAUCUCGCGCGGUUCGCCGCAGGGCCGUCUUGGCCCGGAGGUCCGGGUUGGCAGCUAGAGCGUAUGGGCAACCAUGCGCCCAGAGGAAUGGUCAUCGGCCCCGGGCAUGCCCGGGGUGACAGAAUCCGGCUUACAGGCUAUCCGCGCGC
This 394-nucleotide RNase P RNA is filed under the name Maritimibacter fusiformis. RNAcentral describes it as "Bacterial RNase P class A". It matches the Rfam family "Bacterial RNase P class A". Rfam says of the family: Ribonuclease P (RNase P) is a ubiquitous endoribonuclease, found in archaea, bacteria and eukarya as well as chloroplasts and mitochondria. The record is from Rfam by way of RNAcentral. Lineage: Bacteria; Pseudomonadati; Pseudomonadota; Alphaproteobacteria; Rhodobacterales; Roseobacteraceae.